Molecule: ribosomal RNA, 2190 nt
Filed under: uncultured Intestinibacter sp.
Lineage: Bacteria; Bacillati; Bacillota; Clostridia; Peptostreptococcales; Peptostreptococcaceae
Description: partial contains 16S ribosomal RNA, 16S-23S ribosomal RNA intergenic spacer, and 23S ribosomal RNA
Rfam family: Bacterial small subunit ribosomal RNA (bases 1-1476)
Source: RNAcentral
GAUGAACGCUGGCGGCGUGCCUAACACAUGCAAGUCGAGCGAUUCUCUUCGGAGAAGAGCGGCGGACGGGUGAGUAACGCGUGGGUAACCUGCCCUGUACACACGGAUAACAUACCGAAAGGUAUGCUAAUACGGGAUAAUGUAUUUUGAUCGCAUGGUCGAGAUAUCAAAGCUUUUGCGGUACAGGAUGGACCCGCGUCUGAUUAGCUAGUUGGUGAGGUAAUGGCUCACCAAGGCGACGAUCAGUAGCCGACCUGAGAGGGUGAUCGGCCACAUUGGAACUGAGACACGGUCCAAACUCCUACGGGAGGCAGCAGUGGGGAAUAUUGCACAAUGGGCGAAAGCCUGAUGCAGCAACGCCGCGUGAGCGAUGAAGGCCUUCGGGUCGUAAAGCUCUGUCCUCAAGGAAGAUAAUGACGGUACUUGAGGAGGAAGCCCCGGCUAACUACGUGCCAGCAGCCGCGGUAAUACGUAGGGGGCUAGCGUUAUCCGGAAUUACUGGGCGUAAAGGGUGCGUAGGUGGUUUCUUAAGUCAGAGGUGAAAGGCUACGGCUCAACCGUAGUAAGCCUUUGAAACUGAGAAACUUGAGUGCAGGAGAGGAGAGUAGAAUUCCUAGUGUAGCGGUGAAAUGCGUAGAUAUUAGGAGGAAUACCAGUUGCGAAGGCGGCUCUCUGGACUGUAACUGACACUGAGGCACGAAAGCGUGGGGAGCAAACAGGAUUAGAUACCCUGGUAGUCCACGCCGUAAACGAUGAGUACUAGCUGUCGGAGGUUACCCCCUUCGGUGGCGCAGCUAACGCAUUAAGUACUCCGCCUGGGAAGUACGCUCGCAAGAGUGAAACUCAAAGGAAUUGACGGGGACCCGCACAAGUAGCGGAGCAUGUGGUUUAAUUCGAAGCAACGCGAAGAACCUUACCUAAGCUUGACAUCCUUCUGACCUCUCUCUAAUCGGAGACUUCCCUUCGGGGACAGAAGUGACAGGUGGUGCAUGGUUGUCGUCAGCUCGUGUCGUGAGAUGUUGGGUUAAGUCCCGCAACGAGCGCAACCCUUGCCUUUAGUUGCCAGCAUUAAGUUGGGCACUCUAGAGGGACUGCCAGGGAUAACCUGGAGGAAGGUGGGGAUGACGUCAAAUCAUCAUGCCCCUUAUGCUUAGGGCUACACACGUGCUACAAUGGGUGGUACAGAGGGUUGCCAAACCGUGAGGUGGAGCUAAUCCCUUAAAGCCAUUCUCAGUUCGGAUUGUAGGCUGAAACUCGCCUACAUGAAGCUGGAGUUACUAGUAAUCGCAGAUCAGAAUGCUGCGGUGAAUGCGUUCCCGGGUCUUGUACACACCGCCCGUCACACCACGGGAGUUGGGGGCGCCCGAAGCCAGAUAGCUAACCUUUUGGAAGCGUCUGUCGAAGGUGAAAUCAAUAACUGGGGUGAAGUCGUAACAAGGUAGCCGUAUCGGAAGGUGCGGCUGGAUCACCUCCUUUCUAAGGAGAAUUACCUACUGUUUAAUUUUGAGGGUUCAUUCCUCAAGAUAGUACUUUGAGCAACGGGAUGUGAGCGAAUGCGAGCAGACGUUGGCGAUGUACGUUAGUACUUUGAAAACUGCAUAACAUUUAGUGAUAUGACAUCAUUUUAUAUAUAGACAAGAUAAGUCUUUAAAAUAUCAUUGAGAAGACAAUCUCUUAAAAAAUCAACUUUAAUAACUUGGUCAAGUUAUUAAGGGUGCAGGGCGGAUGCCUUGGCACUAGGAGCCGAUGAAGGACGUGAUAAGCUGCGAUAAGCUUCGGGGAGUUGCACGUAAACUUUGAUCCGAAGAUUUCCGAAUGAGGAAACUCACUUAGAGUAAUGUCUAAGUAUCGUUAAGUGAAUACAUAGCUUAGCGAGGGGAACCCGGGGAACUGAAACAUCUAAGUACCCGGAGGAAAAGAAAGAAAUUCGAUUCCGUAAGUAGCGGCGAGCGAACGCGGAACAGGCCAAACCAAUGAAGUUUUCUUUGUUGGGGUUGCGGACAUGCAACAUGGAUGCACUAUCGUAAAUGAAGAGAGUUGGAAAGCUCCGCCAAAGAAGGUAAUAGCCCUGUAAUUGAAACGAGAAAGCUACUAGCAUGAUCCAGAGUACCACGGGACACGUGAAACCCUGUGGGAAGCAGGAGGGACCAUCCUCCAAGCCUAAAUACUACCUAGUGACCGAUAGCGCAU